This 673-nucleotide ribosomal RNA is filed under the name uncultured eukaryote. RNAcentral describes it as "SSU rRNA". It matches the Rfam family "Eukaryotic small subunit ribosomal RNA", at positions 319 to 1018 of the family's 1831-position model. The record is from RNAcentral.
CUUGAUGGUAGUGUAUUGGACUACCAUGGCAGUCACGGGUAACGGAGAAUUAGGGUUCGAUUCCGGAGAGGGAGCCUGAGAAACGGCUACCACAUCUACGGAGGGCAGCAGGCGCGAAAAUUGCCCAAUCCCGAUACGGGGAGGCAGUGACAAGAAAUAACAACUCUCGACUAUGUUGAGAAGUGUAAUGAGGAUAAUUUACAAACCUUACCGAAAGCAAUUGGAGGGCAAGUCUGGUGCCAGCAGCCGCGGUAAUUCCAGCUCCAAUAGCGUAUAUUAUAGUUGUUGCAGUUAAAAAGCUCGUAGUUGAAGUUCUGAUUGUUCGGAUCUCCAGCCUUUAGGCGGGGAAACCGACAGUCAUCCGCUUGCAAAUAUAUGUUCGAUCUUUACCGGUUGACUAUGUGAGUAAGCAAUUUACCUUGAGAAAAACAGAGUGUUCCAGGCAGGUUUGUCCGGAAUGCAUUAGCAUGGAAUAAUAGAACAUGACUGAAGUCUAUUUAUUGGUUUAAGACUACAGUAAUGAUUAAUAGGAACAGUCGGGGGCAUUAGUACUCAGCAGUCAGAGGUGAAAUUCUAAGAUUUGCUGAAGACUAACUAAUGCGAAAGCAUUUGCCAAGGAUGUUUUCAUUAAUCAAGAACGAAAGUUAGGGGAUCAAAGACGAUCAGAUACCGU